CCCUUAGACGUUCUGGGCCGCACGCGCGCUACACAGACGGAGCCAGCGAGUAUAAACCUUGGCCGAGAGGUCUGGGAAAUCUUGUGAAACUCCGUCGUGCUGGGGAUAGAGCAUUGUAAUUAUUGCUCUUCAACGAGGAAUUCCUAGUAAGCGCAAGUCAUCAGCUUGCGUUGAUUACGUCCCUGCCCUUUGUACACACCGCCCGUCGCUACUACCGAUUGAAUGGCUUAGUGAGGCUUCCGGAUUGGUUUAGAGAAGGGGGCAACUCCAUCUUGGAACCGAGAAGCUAGUCAAACUUGGUCAUUUAGAGGAAGUAAAAGUCGUAACA
This 328-nucleotide ribosomal RNA is filed under the name uncultured eukaryote. RNAcentral's name for it is "partial 18S ribosomal RNA". It matches the Rfam family "Eukaryotic small subunit ribosomal RNA", at positions 1470 to 1796 of the family's 1831-position model. The record is from RNAcentral.